CCUACGGGAGGCAGCAGUGGGGAAUCUUGCACAAUGGAGGAAACUCUGAUGCAGCGAUGCCGCGUGAGUGAAGAAGGCCUUUGGGUUGUAAAGCUCUUUUGUAGGGGAAGAUAAUGACUGUACCCUAAGAAUAAGGUCCGGCUAACUUCGUGCCAGCAGCCGCGGUAAUACGAAGGGACCUAGCGUAGUUCGGAAUUACUGGGCGUAAAGCGCGCGUAGGCCGUUGAGUUAGUUAAUUGUGAAAUCCCAAAGCUUAACUUUGGAACUGCAAUUAAAACUGCUCGACUAGAGUUUGAUAGAGGAAAGCGGAAUACAUAGUGUAGAGGUGAAAUUCGUAGAUAUUAUGUAGAACACCAGUUGCGAAGGCGGCUUUCUGGAUCAACACUGACGCUGAGGCGCGAAAGUAUGGGUAGCAAAGAGGAUUAGAUACCCUCGUAGUCCAUACCAUAAACGAUGAUUGCUAGAUGUUGGAAAUUUAUUUUACAGUAUCGCAGCUAACGCAUUAAGCAAUCCGCCUGGGGAGUACGACCGCAAGGUUAAAACUCAAAGGAAUUGACGGCUGAGAGNGCGAGACGACACGAGGAGAG
Molecule: ribosomal RNA, 587 nt
Filed under: uncultured bacterium
Lineage: Bacteria
Description: bacterial SSU rRNA
Rfam family: Bacterial small subunit ribosomal RNA
Source: RNAcentral